UACCUGGUUGAUCCUUCCAGUAGUCAUAUGCUUGUAUCAAAGAUUAAGCCAUGCAUGUGUAAGUAUGAACAAAUUCAGACUGUGAAACUGCGAAUGGCUCAUUAAAUCACUUAUACUUUGUUUGAUGGUAUCUACUACUCGGAUAACUAUACUAAUUCUAGAGCUAAUAGGUGAAACAAACCCCGACUUCUGGAAGGGAUGCAUUUAUUAGAUAAAAGGUCGAUGCGGGCUCUGCCAGCUGCUGCGAUGAUUCAUGAUAACUCGACGGAUCGCACGGCCAUCGUGCCGGUGACGCAUCAUUCAAAUUUCUGACCUAUGAACUUUUGAUGGUAGGACAGUGGCCUACCAUGGUGGUGACGGGUGACGGAGAAUUAGGGUUCGAUUCCGGAGAGGGAGCCUGCAAAACGGCUACCACAUCCAAGGAAAGCAGCAGGCGCGCAAAUUACCCAAUCCUGACACGGGGAGAUAAGUGACAAUAAAUAACAAUACUGGGCUCCAUGAGUCUGGUAAUUGGAAUGAGUACAAUCUAAAUCCCUUAACGAGGAUCCAUUGGAGGGAAAGUCUGGUGCCAGCAGUCGCGGUAAUUCCAGCUCCAAUAGCGUAUAUUUAAGUUGUUGCAAUUAAAAAGCUCGUAGUUGAACUUUGGGAUGGGCCGGCCGGUCCGCCCUAGAUGUGCACCGGUCGUCUCGUCCCUUCUGUCGGGUGAUGCGCUCAUGGCGUUUAAUGGCCGGGUCGUGCCUCCGACGCUGUUACUUUGAAGAAUUAGAGUGCUCAAAGAAAGCCUACGCUCUGUAUACAUUAGCAUGGGAUAACAUUAUAGGAUUUUGGUCAUAUUACGUUGGCCUUCAGGAUCGGAGUAAUGAUUAACAAGGACAGUCGAGGGCAUUCGUAUUUCAUAGUUAAAGGUGAAAUUCUUGGAUUUAUGAAAGAUGAACAACUGCGAAAGCAUUUUCCAAGAAUAUUUUGAUUAACCAAGAAUGAAAUUUGGGGGCUCGAAGAUGAUUAGAUACCGUCCUAGUCUCAACCGUAAACGAUGCCGACCAGGGAUCGACGGAUGUUGCUUUUAGGACUCUCCCGCCACCUUAUGAGAAAUCAAAGUUUUUGGGUUCUGGUGGGAGUAUGGUUGCAAGGCUGAAACUUAAAGGAAUUGACGAAAUGGCACCACCAGGAGUGGAGCCUGUGGCUUUAUUUGACUCAACACGGGGAAACUUACAAGGUCCAAACAUAGUAAGGAUUGACAGACUGAGCGCUCUUUCUUCAUUCUACUGGUUGUGGUGCAUGGUCGUUCUUAGUUGGUGAAACGAUUUGUCUGGUUAAUUCCAUUAACGAAUGAGACCUCAUCCUGCUAACUAGCUAUGCGGAGGUAUCCCUUCGUGGCCAGCUUCUUAGAGAGACUACGGCCUUUUUGGCCGCGAAUGUUUGAGGCAAUAACAGGUCUGUGAUGCUCUUAGAUGUUAUGGGCCGCACGCGCGCUACACUGAUUAUUCAACGAGCUUAUAGCCUUGGCCAAUAGGCCUGGUUAAUCUUCGAAAUUUCAUUGUGAUAGGUAUAUAUCAUUGCAUUUAUUGGUUUUCAACGAGGAAUUCCUAGUAAGCACGAGUCAUCAGCUCGCGUUGACUACGUCCCUGCCCUUUGUACACACCGCUCGUCGCUCCUACCGAUUGAAUGAUUUAGUGAAAUGUUCGGAUCGCGGCGACAUGGGUGGUUCGCUGCCCGCGAAGUCGUGAGAAGUCCAUUGAACCUUAUCAUUUAGAGGAAGGAGAAGUCGUAACAAGGUUUCCAUAGGUUAACCUGCGGAAGGAUCAUUG
Molecule: non-coding RNA, 1808 nt
Organism: Solanum lycopersicum (tomato)
Lineage: Eukaryota; Viridiplantae; Streptophyta; Magnoliopsida; Solanales; Solanaceae
Source: Rfam